CACUAAAUGGCUGAAAGUAAGCUAUGGAAUUUUAAACCAUUAAUAAUGUAAUCACGUACAUUUCUAGUGA
RNAcentral lists this transfer RNA (70 nucleotides) under Cassena terminalis. RNAcentral describes it as "tRNA-Lys". The record is from RNAcentral. Lineage: Eukaryota; Metazoa; Arthropoda; Insecta; Coleoptera; Chrysomelidae.